GACGAACGCUGGCGGCGUGCUUAACACAUGCGAGUCGAACGGAAAGGCCCCCACCUUGGUGGGGGUGCUCGAGUGGCGAACGGGUGAGUAACACGUGGGUGAUCUGCCCUGUACUUCGGGAUAAGCUUGGGAAACUGGGUCUAAUACCGGAUAGGACCAUGGUUUAGUGUCUCAUGGUGGAAAAAUUAUUGUUUUGGUGCAGGAUGAGCUCGCGGCCUAUCAGCUUGUUGGUGGGGUAAUGGCCUACCAAGGCGUCGACGGGUAGCCGGCCUGAGAGGGUGAACGGCCACAUUGGGACUGAGAGACGGCCCAGACACCGACGGGAGGCAGCAGUGGGGAAUAUUGCACAAUGGGCGCAAGCCUGAUGCAGCGACGCCGCGUGGGGGAUGACGGCCUUCGGGUUGUAAACUCCUUUCGUUAGGGACGAAGCCACACCUUUUUUGGGUGUGGUGACGGUACCUUUGUUAAGAAGCACCGGCUAACUACGUG
This 489-nucleotide ribosomal RNA is filed under the name uncultured bacterium. RNAcentral describes it as "partial 16S ribosomal RNA". It matches the Rfam family "Bacterial small subunit ribosomal RNA", at positions 28 to 507 of the family's 1533-position model. The record is from RNAcentral.